GCAAGUCGAGCGAGAAGCUUCUUUCGGGAAGUGGAGAGCGGCGGACGGGUUAGUAACGCGUGGGAACAUGCCCUAAAGUCUGGGAUAACUAUUAGAAAUGAUAGCUAAUACCGGAUGGUCCCUUCGGGGUAAAGCUUUAGCGCUUUAGGAUUGGCCCGCGUAAGAUUAGCUUGUUGGUGAGGUAAGAGCUCACCAAGGCGACGAUCUCUAGCUGGUCUGAGAGGAUGAUC
This 230-nucleotide ribosomal RNA is filed under the name uncultured bacterium. Its description in RNAcentral is "partial 16S ribosomal RNA". It matches the Rfam family "Bacterial small subunit ribosomal RNA", at positions 57 to 305 of the family's 1533-position model. The record is from RNAcentral.